This 330-nucleotide ribosomal RNA is filed under the name uncultured bacterium. RNAcentral's name for it is "bacterial SSU rRNA". It matches the Rfam family "Bacterial small subunit ribosomal RNA", at positions 568 to 898 of the family's 1533-position model. The record is from RNAcentral.
UCCGUAGGCGGUGCGGCAAGUCGGAAGUGAAAUCUCAGGGCUUAACCCUGAGGCUGCUUCCGAAACUGCCGUGCUGGAGUGCGAGAGAGGCGAGUGGAAUUGCAGGUGUAGCGGUGAAAUGCGUAGAUAUCUGCAGGAACAUCCGAGGCGAAAGCGGCUCGCUGGAUCGCAACUGACGCUGAGGGACGAAAGCUAGGGGAGCAAACAGGAUUAGAUACCCUGGUAGUCCUAGCCCUAAACGAUCAGGACUGGGCGUGGGCCUCGUACGGGGCUCGUGCCGCAGCUAACGCGUUAAGUCCUGCGCCUGGGGGGUACGGUCGCAAGGCUGAA